This 475-nucleotide ribosomal RNA is filed under the name uncultured bacterium. RNAcentral describes it as "bacterial SSU rRNA". It matches the Rfam family "Bacterial small subunit ribosomal RNA", at positions 915 to 1391 of the family's 1533-position model. The record is from RNAcentral.
GGGGGCCCGCAAGCGGUGGAGCAUGUGGUUCAAUUCGACGCAACGCGAAGAACCUUACCUGGGCUCGAACGGCUGGUUAACUGUCAUGGAAACAUGGCCACCCCGCAAGGGGGUCCAGUCGAGGUGCUGCAUGGCUGUCGUCAGCUCGUGUCGUGAGAUGUUGGGUUAAGUCCCGCAACGAGCGCAACCCUUGUCCUGUGUUGCCACUCCGUAAGGAAGCACUCGCAGGAGACCGCCAGCGAUAAGCUGGAGGAAGGUGGGGAUGAUGUCAAGUCAUCAUGGCCUUUAUGUCCAGGGCUACACACGUGCUACAAUGGCCGGUACAAAGCGCUGCGAACCCGCGAGGGGGAGCCAAUCGCAAAAAACCGGUCUCAGUUCGGAUUGCAGGCUGCAACCCGCCUGCAUGAAGCUGGAAUCGCUAGUAAUGGCGUAUCAGAACGAUGCCGUGAAUACGUUCCCGGGCCUUGUACACACC